Molecule: ribosomal RNA, 1255 nt
Filed under: metagenome
Description: bacterial SSU rRNA
Rfam family: Bacterial small subunit ribosomal RNA
Source: RNAcentral
AGCUGGUUGGUGAGGUAACGGCCCACCAAGGCGACGAUCAGUAGCCGGCCUGAGAGGGUGAACGGCCACAUUGGGACUGAGACACGGCCCAAACUCCUACGGGAGGCAGCAGUGGGGAAUAUUGCACAAUGGGGGAAACCCUGAUGCAGCAACGCCGCGUGAGUGAAGAAGUAUUUCGGUAUGUAAAGCUCUAUCAGCAGGAAAGAAAAUGACGGUACCUGACUAAGAAGCCCCGGCUAACUACGUGCCAGCAGCCGCGGUAAUACGUAGGGGGCAAGCGUUAUCCGGAUUUACUGGGUGUAAAGGGAGCGUAGACGGUUUUGCAAGUCUGAAGUGAAAGCCCGGGGCUUAACCCCGGGACUGCUUUGGAAACUGUAGAACUAGAGUGCAGGAGAGGUAAGUGGAAUUCCUAGUGUAGCGGUGAAAUGCGUAGAUAUUAGGAGGAACACCAGUGGCGAAGGCGGCUUACUGGACUGUAACUGACGUUGGGGCUCGAAAGCGUGGGGAGCAAACAGGAUUAGAUACCCCGGUAGUCCACGCCGUAAACGAUGAUUACUAGGUGUUGGUGGGUACGACCCAUCGGUGCCGCAGCAAACGCAAUAGUAAUCCACCUGGGGAGUACGUUCGCAAGAAUGAAACUCAAAGGAAUUGACGGGGACCCGCACAAGCGGUGGAGCAUGUGGUUUAAUUCGAAGCAACGCGAAGAACCAUACCUGGUCUUGACAUCCCUAUGAAUAACGGGCAAUGCCGUUAGUACUUCGGUACAUAGGAGACAGGUGGUGCAUGGUUGUCGUCAGCUCGUGUCGUGAGAUGUUGGGUUAAGUCCCGCAACGAGCGCAACCCUUAUCUUUAGUAGCCAGCAGUAAGAUGGGCACUCUAGAGAGACUGCCGGGGAUAACCCGGAGGAAGGUGGGGAUGACGUCAAAUCAUCAUGCCCCUUAUGACCAGGGCUACACACGUGCUACAAUGGCGUAAACAAAGAGAAGCGAAGUCGUGAGGCAGAGCGAAUCUCAAAAAUAACGUCUCAGUUCGGAUUGUAGUCUGCAACUCGACUACAUGAAGCUGGAAUCGCUAGUAAUCGCAGAUCAGAAUGCUGCGGUGAAUACGUUCCCGGGUCUUGUACACACCGCCCGUCACACCAUGGGAGUCGGAAAUGCCCGAAGUCGGUGACCUAACCGCAAGGAAGGAGACGCCGAAGGCAGGUCUGAUAACUGGGGUGAAGUCGAACAAGGUAGCCGUAUCGGAGGUGCGGCUG